Long non-coding RNA from Bos taurus (domestic cattle), 5084 nucleotides. The record is from Ensembl. NCBI's taxonomy places the organism in Eukaryota, Metazoa, Chordata, Mammalia, Artiodactyla, Bovidae.
GGGAGAGAGGAAGAAGGGGUGAGAGGAGAAACCUGCCGCCGCUCGCCGCCUCUUUGUCUGCUCUGGGACUUGGAACAAAAGGGGGAACUCUGAUGAACUCUCUCUCCGCCCCUCUCCCCCGGACGCGCGGGUAUCUCCCUCUCGCAACUUUGCCGCCGCGACUUUCUCCGCUGUCAGGCCACACAAAAGUGUCCGAACGCCUCGAGGACCGCGACAAGGGAAGUGUCUCUUCAAAGUGCGACCAAGUGGGGAAGAAGGUGUGAUUACUGUGGUCAGCAUCUAGAAAACAGAAGCACUCCCGCCUCCUCUGUGCUACAUCCUUCUUACUGGAUCUUUCUAUCAGUGAACAUUGUGGAAGUACCAUUACUACAUCGUCAUUCCUGAAGGAAAAGUUGCCAAACUUUUUUCUUUGGAGUUGCUUCAAAGUUGUUGGGAUUUUUGAUGAUGCCUCCCCUAUGUGGAUUACUACUGUUUGAACACUGGGAAUUCUCCAUCUUAAAGAAGCGCUCCCAGGUGACUACAGAAGCCUCGACACCCAGCGUGGUCAGGAGCUGUGGAAUCCGAGUGCGGCUGCCAAGAGGAAUCCAGAAAAGCCAAAGAGCCCAAGCAUGUCAGACCUUCCUGUAGCCACACACACACACACCUCAAACCCCAAGGAAGUGAGUGAGAAUCACAGGCAGGGAGACAGCCAACCAGGAUCUCGUCCCGGAUACCGCACUACAUUUGUUCGUCGUGUCUAAGACACCUUCGAUCUAUGACUGUUUCUCUGACAUGUUUCUGAUGACCUUUACAGUUUCACGGAGUGCAGCUCCAGGGCUGCAUCGCUGUGGGCACGCCAAGCUUCUCCUGGUUACCUGAGCUGCUGUUGCUGUCUCCCGGCUUCGGCUUCUUCAUGGCGCACGGGAACCCAGCAUCAUCGGUCUACGCAGCGCAGAACAAGGACCUGCUGGUGGAGCUCUGGCCGGGGUCCCCUCGCAGGCAGGCGAGGGGACUCGGAGGACAGGGUGAUGCGGGAGAAGACCCGGGGUGGGAUGGAUAGAAAGAACGCCAAGGACCGGGCAGGAGAAGUUAGGAAUUUGAUCCGUCCAAUGCCCACUGGUCUUCCCCACGGCGCACCCAGCUCAGGCUGCUCUUGGGGAUUAGUCUGGGAGGAAAGACCCAUGGCGAGAUGUGGUGGCAUUUUACUUGAGAGUGGAGCUGAAGAUGGAUAAACCUGGUCUCUGAUGUGUCUGCCUGCCUGCCGACGAGGCACAGUUGGAGAAAGGCAGAGCGAGGGAGCGCCUGAGAAGAAAGAGGAGAGGCGGAAUGCCGUUCGAUUGUCUGCCGCUGGCCCUGCAUUCUCAUUCUAGGGAGGAAGGCAUAAUUUAUAACCCAGUCUAUGGGUGGAAGAACUGUAAAUUGUAGUCUGGAUGUCCCCGGUGCUGUCAAGGAAGAAACUGAUGAGCUAGGUGACUGUACCAGUGUCCCCAGGGAGAAGAUCAGCCUUGCAGCAUGGAUUUAAAUGCAUGUGCAUGCAUGUAGAGACAUGAAAAGAGGGCGAUUUCUGACCAGUUUACACAGGAAGUCUGUCACUUGGCUGGAUCGGGCUUGAUUGCAGCUUGUAUUUUCAGCUUCAGCUCAACACCCAUUUCCUGACUAGCUAGAGAGCAUGGCCAAAGCAGCUGCAUGCAGAAUUUUCUUGUUAAUGUGAAAGCAACCCUCCUCAGCUUUAACUCCUUGAAGUUCUGAAUGCUCUGUGCUUCGCUCGGACUGACUGUAGGGUUUUGUUUGCUUCUUCUUCGACAGAUCCCCUGUAAACACAGCUGUAUUCAGUAUGAUGAAAAAUUCUAUCCAGUAAAUAGAAAUCUGAUCAAUUUAAUCAAAAUAAAUGUAUCCCAGAUGACUUUGAGACCAGCUGGCUACCACAGGCUUCAGAUGCUAAGCGUACAAUGGAGAUGAAUGCAAUCUUAUAUUUACGUGUUUCUGAAUUCCCGGAUCAGCCUAUAAUUAAAAAAAGAAAUCCUUUUGUAGGAAAGAGGUGGUCCUACCAGCUCUCAAGGUAGCUGGUUAGAUUCAGGUGCGGAUGUUGUUCAUGAGAUUUGGGAUCACGAUGUCGCAUUUCGAGGGCGUGUGCCAUGUGGCAGAGCAGAGUCAUGCUCCACAUAGAGAAAGCCUGCAUCUACCUUGCCAUCUGGAGACGCGGGUGCCCUCGAAACAGCCUCUGGUGAGGUUGGGGGAGGCACCUGAAGCUUGUUUUAGAUUCCGAUGUGUGGGCUCUGGUGCUCCAAGCCCAGCUCAAAACUGGGGGUGAGGUGCUUUCCCAGUUGUCAUGGGGAGCUCUUCUGGGACGCCUGUCUGGCCCUUCCACUGUUUGUUACUAUUUCUACAAAGGCGGCUCUGUGUGUUGGAUUAUGUUUGGCCAGCUGUUGGCGCAUUCCUGCGGGUGGGGCUGGGUGGAGACCUGAUUACUGUACUUGGAAACUGUAGAUCUCUGUGCGGUGGAGAGCAGGGAGGGAAUGCAAAGAAAGCAGGUUGGAGAAGCUGAUCUCUCUUAGAGAUUUGCUCCAGGUAGUUCUACAGCACGUGCAGAAAGGCUUCCAGUGUAGAGAAGGAAAGAGGGGAUGAUGCGGGGCGGGGAGCAGUGAGGGAAGGAGAAUGCAACUGAGCAAGCCCAUCAGAGAGAAAAACAGACUUUAGAACUUCAAAGCUGCAUAGACAAGCAGAAUGUCAGCAGCUUGUAAUUAGUGGUUCAUGGUUGCGUCAGCGCCUGCACCUCUCCAAGAAUAACUGUGUGAUGUGUGCCACAGAGUGAAGAAGACAGUCAUAACUAAGUUAUCAAACCUAGUUCAAACCAGGGCAAAUGGAGUCAGGAAUUUUUCUGUGUUUGUAAAUCAAAUCCUGAUGGAUUACACGUCUAAGACUUGCUGGGUUCUGCAUAAUUGAAGGCUGGAUUAUCCAUUUAUGGGGGAGGGUGGAGGGAUAUUGUAUGUUCAUUAAACGAAACUAUGAACCCUUAAAAAUGCAGAUGAAUCGUGCAUGUAAAUAUCAGCGCGCUCUGCGUCAAUACACGGUAUUUCCUCCAAUAGCCCCAAGCAGCUGUUGCCAAUCUCCCCGAAUCUCUGCAUCCACACAGAGUUUUUAUUUGCUCGGUUUUUGUGCAUUCACGUGGAGAGGAGUUAAAAGUUACAGUUCAGAUGAAAUAGGGUCAAUUAAAUGCGAAAAAUCGCAUCUUGGAAGUGGGCAACUGCAGCGGGGUUCUGAUUUUUGUUGCUGCCCCCGUGUAAAGCUUGCCGGAGCCUUGGCGGUCUCGCAGCCAAACAGCCGUCUGUUAGUAAGCCCGUGGGAAGUCGGGGCACCGCAGUGGUGGGGAGGCGAAGGCCACGUUCACUUCCCUCCCUUGUCUCUGGCGCUUAGAGAUUGCCGUGUGUGUGACUCCAGCCCCACAAAGAGCCGGUGGGAGGAGCUGAUUGGUCGGGAGGCUGGGGAUGUUUACUCUUAUUUGUUUUCAGCGCUCCUCCACGGCAUUCAUGCCGUAUUUGUAUUUGUGUUCACGCCGCACAAUUACUCCUCGCCCUGCUUUGUUUCUCUGCCCGAAGAGAAGUCAAUUUUAGUUCAGCUCCCCGGGUUUCGGCCUCCUGGCUAAAAUCCUACGUAUUGCUUUCCCCGGGUCUGCGUUUCCUUUUUUAAUGUGGAUUAGGGGGAAAUCGGUGGCCGGGAAAGCCGUGCAUAUUCAAUCAGUAGCUUUUGAAGCCGCGCCUGUCAGAUAAUUUAAAUAUAUUUACUCUGGGGGUGCCGGAGCUGGCGUGGUCGGAGCCCGUUUUAAUGUACCUCUUCGCUUUCGUCAAGGAGCGGAACCUGCCGGCUCAGAAUGGCGUAUUCUGUGCACCCAACAGGGUGGAAGACAUGAUUUUGUUUGUGUUAGUUCAAACAGCUGGUCAUUAAUGCAGUCCCCAUUUCGCCACUGAAGUGCGGGUGGACGUGAAUGGCUGCCUGAUUAAUGCUGUCCCCUCCGAGGGUCCUUCACCCAGCAGUCAGGCUCGGAGCAGAAUAAUGUAGCAUGAUGUGAUUGCUCUCUAACAGGGUAGUAUGUCAUUGUGUCACCAAGCAAUUGAGGUUAUUACGGGGCAGGGCAGACAGACGGGACAGUGGGGUUACUAGACCGUAGCAUUUUUAGAAAUACAGGCCUGACCUACUUAGAGUUAUUCUCUCUGGCUGGCAGCUGCACGGAGCAUCCAGUCUUCUGAUAGGCUGAGGCUGUUGCUAGGGGGGAAUUAGCCUGAAUUUUUCCACACACAGACUCAGUGACUGAAUGAUAAAAGCUGACUGGAAUUAAAGAGAUUUGGUUUAGUAUUAUACAGAUGGAUCGGCCCCGUUUUUCUUUCUCAAGUGCAAAGGAAGAGUGCAAAAUACAGAUUUUUGUGUCCAUCUUGUUCCUUGACCCUCUGGUUCUCCCCCACCACAGAACCGCCAGAGCAAGGCAGUUAUGAAAUUUCGGUUAAUCUCUUUAAAGUCGGGGGUCAUGGAAAUGAUGUUGCAAAUGGCAAGAUAUUUAAGCUUAAAGACCGCUGAGAAUGACUAACAGAAGGUUAGAUUAUUUUUCCUCUUCUGUGCACUAAACUGUUUUGAAGUUGGGCAUGCAUCUUUCAUGCACUGUAUAUUUAAACUCUCUCCCCCUUUUGGGCUUGAACAAAACAUUUAUAUAAAUUCUCUUCUAUCCAAACAGAUAGAAGCUUGCAGUCUCUGGCUUGUUUAAAAUAAGAUGGUAAGGAUUCCAGAUUUGGAUGGGGGAGAAAAAUAUAUAUAACACUUUUUUUUUUUUUAAUUACAAAGUAUUUUUUUCUGGGAUAUUUUGGGUUUGGCUUAUUUUUUAAAAGCCAGCCUGGUGUUUGUUCUUGUGGAUAAAACUUAACUGCUCCCACCCUACCCUCUUGGCUUCACAAUGUACAGAAAGAUACAGGUUUUUUUUCUCCAGAAGAUAAAGUAUCUGCUGAAUUUAUCUGCAUAUUGUUUUUCCUGGUUGCUCAUAUAAGCACUGUGUGUAGAAAGUUCACAUAAUCAAUUUUAUAUGAUGACACCCCCUUUUUUUUAUCUACUCCUGUAUUCUC